UUCUCUGAAGGAUCAAACUCCGGUGAAGUUAUUGGGACGAUAUAAUGCAAACAUGGGGCUCAACAAGACGUGCUAGUUGAUAUGGUUGCAUAAAGUCAUUCUUACAAGCAGAGAUUGGUACACCUUAUCAACACAACUACGCAUUUUGGAGUCAUGUUACAUGAAAAAAGAGGAGAAGAGGCAUAAUUCAUCAUUU
This is a long non-coding RNA of Papaver somniferum (opium poppy), 196 nucleotides long. RefSeq lists it as uncharacterized. The transcript is spliced from 3 exons. The record is from RefSeq and is a predicted model, not a curated record. NCBI's taxonomy places the organism in Eukaryota, Viridiplantae, Streptophyta, Magnoliopsida, Ranunculales, Papaveraceae.